GUUUCCGUAACACCUCUCUUCUACCUCUUGCUAAUUGCAGUUGGCGGGUCAAUUUCCACAAGGCUUUAAAAAUUCCCUCCCCUAAGCCUAAGAAUCUGCAACCUCUCAAAUGUAAAAUCUUCUUGGACCCAUUUGGGAAAUCGUUUGGUUUGGGUGAAAAAGGGGAGGAUACAAUUUGCCUCAAAUUGUUUUUUGUGCAAAUGCCAUUAAUGUGUUAGAGUUGUAUGGCGGUAAGCUGUCCCAUCCAAGAAUUGGUGUGCAGUUGUCUUUGAGAAAAUUGUGUCUGGUGGGUGUUUAUGCAGAUGAUCAAAUGAUUGAGAAUCUCUUCGCUAGGUGCCUGUUGAUUGAGUAUCUGACAUUCAAUCAUCUAAAGGCUUUAAAAGCCUAGAGUUAUUUAGUCUUAACAAACUCCAUGAAGUCAAGGUAAGUAACAAUGAUGAACUCAAAAAGGUGGAGAUCAAAGCAUUGAAUGUUCAUUCAGUAACUAUUACUGAUAUGAAAACAUGUGUGAUCAAUAUAGCCUCUUGUGAGAAUCUGAAAUGCUUAUUAUUAUCGAAGCUUUCAAUAACGGAUGAUUGGUUAUGUAAUGUAAUUUCAGAUUUUUCGCUCCUCUUAAGCAUAACUCAUUGUCAUAAGCUGAGGAGUAUCAAAAUUUCAAAUCCUAGUCUUAAGGAAUUGAUCAUCAAUGGAUCCAAUUUGGUUGAAGUAAAGCUUGAGACUCCUAAUUUAAGUAUAUUCAAAUUUAGGGGUCAUCCAAUAUCCUUUACUUCAAAUGCUAUGGCUUUGUCAAAAACUGAUCUCUACGUCUAUGGUCAUAGGGAUAUUCAGGAUUCAGUUAAGUGUAUUCAACUUCUUGCAAACUUUAAGCAGUGUUCUAAAGUGCUGAAUUUGCAACAUUGCACGGGUGCGGUUUUCACUGUUCCUAGAGAAUGAAGGCAAAUCUUACAUCCCCCUUUAUGUGGUGUCAAACAUUUGAACCUCAAAAUAGAUGGUGAUCUCUUGGACUUUAGAAUUCGCGAACUAGUGGAUGGCUUGCUCUGGCUUUCACCUCAUAUAGAGACUAUAUCGAUGAGUUUUCAUUUAGUUUACAGUCAUAAGUAUUCUUUUCAGAUAACAGAUGUCCGGAUAUAUUACAUUAAUGAAUUCAGGGUUUGGUAUAUGCUGUGAGGUUCUAUUAGGAGAUUUUGAUUGAUUAACCAUUUUUGUUUGUUUUACUAUGUUUAUGCCUUUCAUGUUAAAGGAGGUAAAGGUUUUCUCAAAUAGUAGAUCUUGAUGUGAUAAAUUAAAACGUAAAUGAUAGUUAAUUUAGAUAAUAAAAAUGCUAAUUUUUGAAAUCAACAUAUUCUAAUUAUGCAUUACCUACUGUAAAUAUAACAGUAAUUGAAUUCUUUUCUGUUUCUUAUCUAGAAGAAAAUGGGAAAAAGAAAUUGGAUCCUAUAAUAAUGUCCUUUUUGUGGAUAAGAACUAUUGUUUAUUGCCAUUGAUUUUUGUUUCAGUUCUUAUACAAGGAGCAGCUUACUCACGAAGGAGAGACUCCUAGUUGUUGCCAAUCCCUUCGCUUCUCAUGUUGGGAGAAUUGUCUUAAGGGAGUUAAGAUUGAACAUACUUGGACAUCUAACAGUCCACCUGCUUAUUUAGACAGGUUCUCUUUUGAGAAGAAGACAUUGGAGAAGCAUACUUACGUAGAAAGGUUCUAUUUGCACGACAAGAUCUGGGAUACGCUUAAUCAUCUUUAUUUGAAUUUGAGGAAUACGUAUAGUUAUCUGUUUUAUGGUGAUAUAUAAUUAUCUGUUUGAUGUCAGUAGAGACUAGAAAUUCUGGUUUCAUUAUCGAAUUCUCAUGUAAUAUUGGGUAGCUUUGAAAAGGUAUCGGUUUUCAACUUAAACUUUGUGAAGGCAUACCAGUUUGACAUAUAUUGUAUGUAGCAGUAGCUUGUAAUAUAAUUGUACUGAUGUGACAAGGAUGCUUGGCCUGGCGUUGAUAUUUACCCAAUGGUGGUUGUA
Long non-coding RNA from Pistacia vera, 2003 nucleotides. RefSeq lists it as uncharacterized. Lineage: Eukaryota; Viridiplantae; Streptophyta; Magnoliopsida; Sapindales; Anacardiaceae. The record is from RefSeq and is a predicted model, not a curated record. The transcript has 3 exons.